This 333-nucleotide ribosomal RNA is filed under the name Triticum aestivum (bread wheat). RNAcentral's name for it is "partial small subunit ribosomal RNA". Lineage: Eukaryota; Viridiplantae; Streptophyta; Magnoliopsida; Poales; Poaceae. The record is from RNAcentral.
AUGCACCUGUGUGAAAUGUGGAUGUUGGGGCAGAGUUGGAUUAGCAUUAGCCAUGGACUUUGUAAAGAGUAUAUGUCCAUUUUGCCAAGACAAGGACUAAAAAAAAAUUCUACUUUUAACUUGUUGAAUCAUCAGUAUUUAUUUCCAGUCUGUCGAAAUAGAAAUCCACAUACAUGGUUAUACACAUUAGAAAGGAUCAUUAUGUCAUGUGCAAAAAUGAAUCGUGAUUCUGAGAGGAAAUGCCGUGUCACCCAAGUACCGUUUUUAGUUGAUUGUAUUCGUUUUAAACUUGCAUUGUAUGCAUUGCAUUGUAUUUGCAGUCCAAAUGAGUGA